GACGAACGCUGGCGGCGUGCCUAAUACAUGCCAGUCGAACGCACAGUUUAUACCGUAGCUUGCUCCACCAUAGACUGUGAGUUGCGAACGGGUGAGUAACGCGUAGGUAACCUGCCUGGUAGCGGGGGAUAACUAUUGGAAACGAUAGCUAAUACCGCAUAAUAUUGAUUAUUGCAUGAUAAUUGAUUGAAAGAUGCUAUUGCAUCACUACCAGAUGGACCUGCGUUGUAUUAGCUAGUAGGUGAGGUAACGGCUCACCUAGGCGACGAGACAUAGCCGACCUGAGAGGGUGAUCGGCCACCCUGGGACUGAGACAUGGCCCAGAUCCCUAGGGGAGGCAGCAGUAGGGAAUCUUCGGACAUGGACGAAAGUCUGACCGAGAAACGCCGCGUGAGUGAAGAAGGGUUUCGGAUCGUAAAGAUCUGUUGUAAGAGAAGAAAGGGUGUGAGAGUGGAAAGUUCACACUGUGACGGUAACUUAACAGAAAGGGACGGCUAACUACGUG
Molecule: ribosomal RNA, 505 nt
Filed under: uncultured bacterium
Lineage: Bacteria
Description: partial 16S ribosomal RNA
Rfam family: Bacterial small subunit ribosomal RNA
Source: RNAcentral